Homarus americanus (American lobster) is the source of this 3001-nucleotide long non-coding RNA. RefSeq lists it as uncharacterized. The record is from RefSeq and is a predicted model, not a curated record. Lineage: Eukaryota; Metazoa; Arthropoda; Malacostraca; Decapoda; Nephropidae. The transcript is spliced from 3 exons.
AGAGGAAGACGUUAUUGAGAGCCAUCGUGGAUGGUUCCGUCUUCCCUCGAGGGAGGACGUCGGAUAUAUUUCCGUUCUUCCCUCGAGAAGUCUCUACUAAAGUCUUCACUUGACACUUCACCUCAUUUAAACUCUCAAUAGCUACAUUGAGAUAAUUUACGGUAAACCUCUUUUGAAAGUGCAUAUAAGAAAUAUUUGUAAAAUAAACGAAGAAGUUACAGGCAGCGGAUCUAGGUACCCAUAACAAUAACCAGUGUCAGUGUUACAAAAAACGCACAAAAAAAAACAGUAAUAUUAUAUACUGUUACAAAGAAGAUAUCGUUACAGGGGGCUCAGUCUAGGACCAAUCUAUGGUGACCAGUCUAUAGGACCAGUCUACAGUUUCCAGUUAGUCAAGUGUACUCCAAGUAACCGUGACAAUUCUCAUAACAGAAGUUAUUCGUCACACUGGAGUUGAUUAACAGUUGAGAUAAUCUGUUCCGUUACACAUACGGUGAUGUAACAGAAAAAUUUAAACAGUUUCAUAAGUGGCAGCGAGAAAGACCGGAUCCAUAUCUGAUAUCAGUGUCAAUAUUUUUUUUAGAAACUUAAUUUUUUUUUUCCUGAAAAAAUAUCUAAGUGCACGUGGAUAUAUAUCGUCGUGAGAAGUUUUCUGUUGAGUGAUUUUCAUUUUGUCAUCUAAGAAGAUGUUCCAAAAAAUUAUAUCGAUAACCAAUACUGAGUUAUUGAUAUAAUUAAUUGUUGUCAUUAUGGCAAUACUCCUGUGAGCUGAAGUGAACAGUAGUUCUGCAAAUGAAUCGUUCACUGUCACAUGACGUGACUCUAGUUGUUGUGACUACUCAUCAACCAACAUACUGUCAACAAAAUUCUUUCGUAUGGCUUGAGUAACCCCCAGUUACCAGCACCCCAGCACCCUCCUAGUGAUGACACCUUUCUCUGACCACGAAGGUUGUCGAGCCUUGUGUCAUCAUUAUGAGUAUGGCGUGGUGGAUGCACAGUGUACCCAGUGAACCCAAGAGUCCUUGAGUUCACUGACAGGGAGCAGCAGUUUGCUGUACUAAGGAUUUUCGUGGACAUUGACCCAGUCACCAGGACCUUCGCAUCAGCUGUCUCCUGUGAGUGACACACGCAAGUCUAUGGGAUUGCGGCAACAUUUUCACAUUUUCAAGAAAUUCCAGGAAGGAUUCUUCGUGCCAAGCCUACAAGGAAUUGGCUGUGGAUGGCUAGGCCGUAACUUGCUGGUCAGUGAACGCGGGACAACUGUACGUGAUUGAUUCGUGUAUCGGACAUGUGACGCACCAGGGUACAGAGGGUUGUCACUGUCAGGCUCCAUCAGUUCCGUCUGUGCUUCCUGGUGAGCAGGUUGAGCACUGCAAGAAGCCUAAGAUUUAGAAAUCGCUCUCCAGUACUCUUAAUGCAUUGGUAAAUGUAUACAUUGACUUCACCACCGAUGGCCAAGUAUUAUUUUGUAAAUACUGUGAGGUCGUGGUUUCUUCAUCCAAGAAAUUUCAAGUGCAGCAACAUAUUCAAACUGCAAAGCAUGCCAUGAAAAAAGAAGCCAAAACGAGUGCCAAACAACAGACACUGCUCCCCGCAACAGUGUCGCGGCCUGGGCCGGAACAUUUUCAGUUUAAUCAAGAUCUUUGUAGAGCCUUGGUCUCGGCUGAUAUACCAUUGAAUAAGCUGAACAACAAGGAACUGGUCUCAUUCUUAGAGAAGUACACGGAUCAAAAAGUGCCAAGUGAAUCAACACUGAGAAAAAAAUGAUGUUCCUGAUCUUUACAAUGAAACUUUAGAUAGACUGAGAGAGAAGGUAGGUGAUAAUUCCAUCUGGGUAUCAUUGGAUGAGACAACAGAUGUAGAUGCAAGAUGCGUUGCAAAUUUUGUGUUUGGCAUUUUGGGGCCAGAAGAAGAAAGAGACAAAUCAUACUUGCUUAAUUUGAAGGUCUUAGAUAAGGUAAAUCACUCAACCAUGGCAGCAUUUUUCACUGAUUCCUUGGGAUGAUUAUGGGUGGAUGGCAUCAAGUAUGAUCGUGUACUUCUUGUAUGCACUGAUGCAGCCCCAUAUAUGGUUAAAUGUAUGGCAGGACUAGAAAUUCUGUUUCCAAAAAUGAUUCAUGUGACUUGUUUAGCCCAUGGCCUGCACAGGGUUGCUGAAUUAGCUCGUGCAGUUAUGCCUGAUGUGAAUGUGUUGAUUUCUACUGUGAAGAAGGUAUUUCUGAAAGCACGGAGUCGCAAAGAGAGAUUUCGACAAAUUGCUGGUACUGUGCCACUUCCUUCUUCACCAGUAGUGACUAGAUGGGGCACCUGGAUCGAGGCAGCAUUGUACUACGCUGACAAUUUUGAAACUGUCAAGUGUGUAGUUGAAUCAUUUGAUCCCACAGCAUCUGUACAUAUGAAGGAGGCACAAAAUGUACUCAAGAAGGAUGGCUUGCAGGAGGAUCUAAUUUUCAUGAGAGCCAACUUAGCAUGUAUUUCCUUUGCAAUCCUCAAGUUGGAGAAAAAGGACUAACUCUUAAGAGCAGCAUGGAUGUAGUACAAGAGGUUGUUGAUUCUUUGAGUCACCUUGAGAAGAAGGAUUACUUUGAAAAAAUCAGCCAGGUUCUUGCUAAAAACAAAGGUUACAGCCGACUGAAGAAAAUCAGUGAGAUAUUGCAAAGCAAUUCUUCUCUUGAUGCUACCACUCAAGGAGAACUUGAGCUGUCAGACAUAGUUAAGUUACAGUAUGCUCCUAUCGUUUCGUGCGAUGUUGAACGAGUGUUUUCACAGUACAAAUGCAUUCUUGCUGACAACAGGCGAAAGUUUGUGUUUGAAAAUCUACUCCACCAUGUUGUAAUCAAAUGCAAUUCACUUUCAUAAACAGCUUGGGGGUUAUUUAAUAAUUGAUUUUGAACAAGGUUAGGCUACAUAUCUUAAAAGUAGCAAAUUCCUACAUUCAGUUAAUAUAAGGAAAUGUAUUGGUGUUUUUCUGUAUUAUCAAGUAAAUUAUUUUGUCAGUACA